AACACAAGGCUUGGGCCUGUUUUUAUAGUUAAAAUGUGAGGCGAGUAAUAACAGCCUAGGCCUGAAUUCAACGGUCAACUGCGCCAUUCCAAACGUCCGGGCCUGGCACUGCGAGACGCUUCAUGUUGAUGAGAAGGAUUGAAAUAUCAAUGGCUUCCAGUCAAAGACUAGGUUCAUUAUACACAGGCCUCUUCCUUUUCCUUCUGUCGGUCUGUCGUUUGACUGCCCAAGUAUCCAGUGCCACUAAUUGCGAGGACAGCAGCUCCCAAGCUGUCCAUUCGCUCCUCUGUACCUUGCCUAUAAACGUCAACAUCACACGUAAAGAGUUUACGGUCUCCUUCGUUCCGGACGAUGGUGCUGAAGUGUCCUUGGUGGACUGCAGAUGGCCUGGAGAUGGGUUUUAUUGCUUCAAGUGGAAAGGUGUGGACUGUGUGCAGCCGGUGUCAGACCGGGUCAACAUCACUGUACCUGGAAGUGUUGCCUGCAAGACAGGACAAUACAGAGUCAAAAUAUUUGACACCAGCCAUCUGGGCAAGGCAACCUGUCGUCCCGCCAACCAGCUUGAUGGACAUGUGGAUCUUGUAACGCAAGCCAAAAACGAAGAUCUGACACCACCUAUAGAUGAAGACACAGACUCAACAGUCAUGAUAGUUGGCGUAUCGGUAGCAGCUGCAGUUGUGAUGAUUCUGCUUGUUAUUGCAGUUGUUUUGUACAUCAAGAGAAAAGAGUUUCAAGAUUGGCUAAAGCGAAAGGCUUCAGAUAAACGACCGAAAGUAGCAGAUUACCAGCCUACUCUUUCAGGCGACCCCGCGCGUGUGUGAGGUCCGCUACGUCUGUCGGCGAUGACGUGUUCCUGGUGGCGACACUUCGGUUCACCUCUACACUGACAGGUCUUCAGCUCACCUCUACACUGUCAGGUCUUCGGUUCACAUCUACACUGACAAGUCUUCAGUUCACCUCUACACUGUCAUGUCCUCUGUCCUCUACACUAUAUCAAUGCUAUGUCUGGUUGAACUUAAUACAUUCAACAGGUGCCUGUUAAAGGGACUUACUGACAUAUUGAUGUGGCUACUAGCUAAAACCAAUCAACUGACUGUAAAUUUAAAUGUUUUGCGCGACAUGUGCUUCGGUCAUACAGCAAUUCUAACUUCGCUAUGCGUUCAUCUGUUAGACAAUGUUUUUACCCUUGGUUUUUUGUGGCUUAUGAAACCAGCGUAAAAUUUGCAUUAAAAUAAUAUACUAUUAAUCUAAUCCAUUCAUUAAUCCAUCCGUACACACUUACACUUAUGCCGAAUAAUAACAAUAAUAAUAUCAUCACAUUAUGACUGCUAAUAUCUGUUAAAUAUUCGGAUAUUUUUGAAAGAGCUGGUUGUAUCACUUGAACUUGCAACAUUUGUUCUUUGUGUGUUUUCCCUGGAAGAUGUCAACAAACGUGAAGAACUGGUUUGCUAGAUUCUCAUCUGUAUUUCAGCUCUUGCAUGUCUUUAAAAGUUCAAAAGGUUACAACUAAAGACUCUAGAAUUACACAAAACAUCGGUGUACACCCCCAACCCCCACCACCACCAAGUUCAACGUUUCAGCGAGGACAUGUGACAGGCGUGUGACACAUGUAUGACACGUGUGUGACACCUGUGUGACGUUUGUCAGCGGUGACGUGCUUUCCUGGCGGCGACGCUUCGGUUCACCUCCAGCUGACAUCUGCCCACCCGGAACUGGACUUGCUGCCUUCUGUGACUUGUGGUCUGGAGAGGUUGGGACACGUGGGUUCCUCCAACACAGCUCCAGUUGACUGUCAUGCUGAUCAUUGUUGAGUUAUUCUGUCGAGCGACAUGUCAGUCAGUAGUCUGUCAGUGUGUUCAAUGUAGCUUGAGAAUGUCAGAAGUAGGUUUCAAUACAUUUUUCUCAGUUAGAAAAAUCAAGACAAUAAAUUCAGACUUUUGUGAAGGAUAUAUAUAUAUAGAUCAUCACGGAUUUUAAACAACGAGCUUGACAAAAUUAUUGUGAACAAAAUUUAUUCAAUUUACUUUUAAUUACGUUUUACACACGUCACUGUAGUGUGUAACCAAAUUUUUUUGGAGUUUGGAUAAAAAUACUUGAUAAAAGAUUAAUUUUCUCAAUACUUAUACUCUACACUUCAUAUCACGUGACCUUUUGUGAAGACAGAUUUGUUUCAGAAGAAAUUAUCAGUGAUGAUCUAUAGAACAACUAUUGCAUAAUAAUAAAACAAUAAAACUGUUCCAGCAUGUAACUAAUACUUUGAUUAGCUGUUACUUAUCAUUGAUGAUUUGAAUCAUUUGUUUUGUUUUAUGGGAGUGUUGCUCGAUAAUGUCUGCACAUCCUGUACUUCCAUGUGAUUUGUAUGUUGCGCAAAGCUUGAUUUACACUUUGUUUUAUUAAAUAGAUUUUCAAUGCAGUAAAUAAAAUUUUUAAUACGCUUUUGAAACUUU
This 2447-nucleotide unclassified non-coding RNA is filed under the name Pomacea canaliculata. RNAcentral's name for it is "uncharacterized LOC112568092, transcript variant X1". The record is from RNAcentral. Lineage: Eukaryota; Metazoa; Mollusca; Gastropoda; Architaenioglossa; Ampullariidae.